This 374-nucleotide ribosomal RNA is filed under the name uncultured organism. RNAcentral describes it as "partial 16S ribosomal RNA". It matches the Rfam family "Bacterial small subunit ribosomal RNA", at positions 527 to 896 of the family's 1533-position model. The record is from RNAcentral.
GUAGGUGGCAAGCGUUGUCCGGAAUUAUUGGGCGUAAAGCGCGCGCAGGUGGUUCUUUAAGUCUGAUGUGAAAGCCCCCGGGCUCAACCGGGGAGGGUCAUUGGAAACUGGGGAACUUGAGUGCAGGAGAGGAAAGUGGAGUUCCACGUGUAGCGGUGAAAUGCGUAGAUAUGUGGAGGAACACCAGUGGCGAAGGCGACUUUCUGGCCUGUAACUGACACUGAGGCGCGAAAGCGUGGGGAGCAAACAGGAUUAGAUACCCUGGUAGUCCACGCCGUAAACGAUGAGUGCUAAGUGUUGGGGGGGUUUCCGCCCCUCAGUGCUGCAGCUAACGCAUUAAGCACUCCGCCUGGGGAGUACGGUCGCAAAGACUG